ACAGGGAGCACAAACCUUGUGUAAGGCUCCUGCCCGCCUGUCCUGUGAUCCUUCCAGCCACCUGCCAUGGGGCCUGCCACUUUUAUCCCCAUUUUACAGAUGAGGGAGAAGAGGCACAGAGAGGUUUAGUGACCUGCCCGGGUCACACAGCUGUGUAAGUGGUGGAGCUGGGAUCCGAAGCCCGGCCACCUGAGCCCUAAGCCGGAGCUUUUCCCGCCAGUUCACGCUGCUGCCCCCUCACUCUCUGGGGCCUUGUGGUUGGCACUUGGGGCUCAGAGCACAAGGUGGUCAGGGCAGAGAGCUUGGGUCACCCAGCGGUGGGAGCCUCUGCUGCAGGGGGUGGGCUCCCAGACAUGCUGCUUGCCCGCAGCCCCUGGGGACUGGCUUUUCUGCCUGGCACUGAUGGGCCUCGGGGUGGGGGCACCUCCCGCAGCUACGGAAGCCUGGCCGCCUGCCCGACACGGCACUGCCCACGCUGCAGAAUGGGGCAGCUGUGACUGAUCUGGCCUGGGACCCCUUUGACCCCCAUCGCCUCGCUGUGGCUGGUGAGGACGCCAGGAUCCGACUGUGGCGGGUACCCGCAGAGGGCCUGGAAGAGGUGCUCACCACGCCAGAGACUGUGCUCACAGGUCAGGCAGGCUCAGGAAUGGGGCUGGGGUGGCCAGUGUCUCCCAAGGGCUCCUGAUCACCCCUGCCUUCCUCCAGGCCACACGGAGAAGAUCUGUUCCCUGCGCUUCCACCCACUGGCAGCCGAUGUGCUGGCCUCGUCCUCCUAUGACCUCACUGUUCGCAUCUGGGACCUUCAGGCUGGAGCUGAUCGGCUGAAGCUGCAGGGCCACCAAGACCAGAUCUUCAGCCUGGCCUGGAGUCCUGAUGGGCAGCAGCUGGCCACUGUCUGCAAGGAUGGGCGUGUGCGGGUCUACAGGCCCCGGAGUGGCCCUGAGCCCCUGCAGGUGAGCACACAGGGGCUGGGGAGUGGCCUCAGACCUGGUUCAGGGGUGCUGGCUGGGUGUCACGCGAUGUAUCUCAACAGGAAGGCCCAGGGCCCAAGGGAGGACGCGGAGCUCGCAUUGUCUGGGUAUGUGAUGGUCGCUGUCUGCUGGUGUCCGGCUUUGACAGCCAAAGUGAGCGCCAGCUGCUCCUAUAUGAAGCUGAGGCCCUGGCCGGCGGACCCUUGGCAGUGUUGGGCCUGGACGUGGCUCCCUCAACCCUGCUGCCCAGCUACGACCCAGACACUGGCCUGGUGCUCCUGACCGGCAAGGGCGACACCCGUGUAUUCCUGUACGAGCUGCUCCCCGAGUCCCCUUUCUUCCUGGAGUGCAACAGCUUCACGUCGCCCGACCCCCACAAGGGCCUCGUCCUCCUGCCUAAGACGGAGUGCGACGUGCGGGAA
Molecule: small RNA, 1393 nt
Filed under: Pan troglodytes (chimpanzee)
Lineage: Eukaryota; Metazoa; Chordata; Mammalia; Primates; Hominidae
Description: retained intron
Source: RNAcentral